GCACUCCAAUGCAUCCUGUGUGCGUCUUCAUGAGUUAACCACACAGACAAUGCAAUGAAUCAAAUUCAACCUGAAUGAUAAAAUAAAAAAAUACUGGUGUUGCAUCAAA
Long non-coding RNA from Sander lucioperca (pikeperch), 109 nucleotides. RefSeq lists it as uncharacterized. The transcript is spliced from 2 exons. The record is from RefSeq and is a predicted model, not a curated record. Lineage: Eukaryota; Metazoa; Chordata; Actinopteri; Perciformes; Percidae.